Molecule: ribosomal RNA, 759 nt
Filed under: Rhacophorus pardalis
Lineage: Eukaryota; Metazoa; Chordata; Amphibia; Anura; Rhacophoridae
Description: partial 16S ribosomal RNA
Rfam family: Bacterial large subunit ribosomal RNA
Source: RNAcentral
UAUGGAAUACACUAUGCUGGAACUAGUAACAAGAAUUUACUAUUCUCCAAAAUGUAAGCAUAAGCCAGAAAGGAUAGACCACUGGCCAUUAACGAAAAUGAAAACACUACAGUAACAUUACAAGAAAACCCUGUACCCCCAAUCGUUAACCUAACACAAGGACAUUUCUGGAAGAUUAAAAGAGAAAGAAGGAACUCGGCAAAUUUCAGCUCCGCCUGUUUACCAAAAACAUCGCCUCUUGCUAAUAUAUAAGAGGUCCGGCCUGCCCAGUGACAUAUUCAACGGCCGCGGUAUUCUGACCGCGCGAAGGUAGCAUAAUCACUUGUUCUUUAAAUGAGGACUAGUAUCAACGGCACCACGAGAACUGCACUGUCUCCCCUCUCCAAUCAGUGAAACUGAUCUCCCCGUGAAGAAGCGGGGAUACAAUUAUAAGACGAGAAGACCCCAUGGAGCUUUAAACCUUACAGCAACUCUGCCGCACAGUCCUACAUAUCCACCAGAGUCGUGCAUGUUAGUUUUAGGUUGGGGUGACCGCGGAGUAAAAUCUAUCCUCCACAACAAAAAGAACUAAGCCUUUAUCCGAGAGAUACCUCUCUAAGAAUUAGCAUACUAAUGUACAAUGACCCGAUAAUCGAUCAACGGACCAAGUUACCCUGGGGAUAACAGCGCAAUCUACUUCAAGAGCCCAUAUCGACAAGUAGGCUUACGACCUCGAUGUUGGAUCAGGUCUCCCAGUGGCGCAGCGCUACUAAAGGUUCG